This 67-nucleotide transfer RNA is filed under the name Rotunda rotundapex. RNAcentral's name for it is "tRNA-Cys". Lineage: Eukaryota; Metazoa; Arthropoda; Insecta; Lepidoptera; Bombycidae. The record is from RNAcentral.
AGCUUUAUAGUCAAUAAUGAUAUAAAAUUGCAAAUUUUAAGGAAUAUUAAAUUAUAUAUUAAGGCUU